UGGACGUCGAGGCGGGCGGUUCUCUGAGCAUUGACGUGGACGCAGAGCCGUCUCAGCAGUCCUGUCAGGGUCUAUGAAGGUUCCUGAAUAAUGACCGAGUGACAUCAUAUGUUAUACAAGGUUCAAAGAGAGGAGCCAUAUUCUCCAUCCAUCCAUUCAUAGGUUUCCUGACAAUGUUCAUGGAGAUGUUGAUGAAAAUCCCAGUCAUCAGCCCAUCACUGCUUUCUCUUUGAACUCGGCUUUAGGAAGGAGACACACAAUGAAUGCUCUAGCUCUGUUGUUCCCAGACUGGGUCCAGAUUGUGGCGAUGACUUCCUAUGAGUCCUCUGACUCACUUUCGUCUGUAUCAGAGAUCAACAGUUUGUUGAUCUAAUGGGUUUCACUAAUCCACGGGACAGCAUGCAAGGUAGCAGAUAGAGCAAUGAGGAAAGCAUAUAAUUGCUAUUGCAGAGUGACUUCAUGUUGCUCUUAAACGAUGAAGCAGUGAAGCAUCACAUGAUAGAUGCAAAGGUAAUUGUGGGUAAUGUGUGGAGCUGUUUCAUACAGCUGCAGAGUGUGUGCUCCGUAAUUGGCAGACAAAGCAGUGACCCUUGGUGGUUGUUGGGCUCCCCAUGAGAACAGCCUCAGGCGUUCCGACCGAACUUUCAUCUCACUCCAGCAACGCAGAACAUACUGGCUUCACAGAAGCAUAUUCAUACACCAACCUCAUCUGUGGGGAGAAAUCAGAUGGGAGAAGAGAAAUUAAUUUUUAAACAUUUACUUUUUCUCACCAGUAGUUCUUUGUUCGGUUUCAUUGCCUCGGCUGUCUGCGCUCUCCCAGUAAAACUUCAAAAAAGAUCUCAGCAAUGCAAAAUCAUUUAAACAUUUUCUUAUGAGUGCUGGUAAAUUAAUAUAGGCGGCUGAGGCACAGAAGAAUCGGAAGAAACAAACACUGUGAAGAUGCUGGAAUCCAAGGAAAGUGCAGGACUGAGGACAGAGUGACUUAUUUAACAUGUGAGAACAUACAAGCAUGUCUGGAAUAGAUUACUGGAUUGUUAACAAGUGAGAGUACAAGAAGACUGUCGCUUAUCAUCUUAUACUAAAAAGGGUUAAGGAGCUGAUGAGUGGAGCAAGUGAGUGUGACAGUACUGCAGAGGCACAGCAGCUAACAUGGAUUUGUGCACCAAUCACCGCUUUCUGGAUUUGAAAAAACUUUGACUUGCUAACAAUGACCUUCUCUGAUUCAGUUAUUAUAUAUACACAAGUCCUUGACACAGCCUCCAGAGUUCGAUUCCCAAGUCUGGGACGCCUGCUGA
Molecule: long non-coding RNA, 1295 nt
Organism: Poeciliopsis prolifica (blackstripe livebearer)
Lineage: Eukaryota; Metazoa; Chordata; Actinopteri; Cyprinodontiformes; Poeciliidae
Exons: 4
Source: RefSeq, a predicted model, not a curated record